RNAcentral lists this transfer RNA (66 nucleotides) under Lipromima minuta. Its description in RNAcentral is "tRNA-Trp". Lineage: Eukaryota; Metazoa; Arthropoda; Insecta; Coleoptera; Chrysomelidae. The record is from RNAcentral.
AAGGAUUUAAGUUAACCUUAAACUCUUAACCUUCAAAGUUAAAAAUAGAAGAGAAUCUAAGCCUUA